This 1156-nucleotide long non-coding RNA is filed under the name Chrysemys picta bellii (western painted turtle). RNAcentral's name for it is "lncRNA (ENSCPBG00000009557.1)". The record is from RNAcentral. Lineage: Eukaryota; Metazoa; Chordata; Testudines; Emydidae.
AGGAAAAUGAAGUGGCCUUUAUAGAGCUGAGACCUAAACUGAUUUAUUCAAAUCCCCCCCGAUCCAGCACCAGAGCACACAAGCAGCGUCGGGAUUGGCAGGGGCAGUACAACAGCAGGAAUUUCUAAUUAAAAUUCUCCCAAGCUGGCUAAUCCUAAACUCUUGACGCUAUCUGUGUGCUGUGCGCAUGUAUGAAAUCCAAAAGUUGACAGGAAUGCAGUGUUAAGGUCCCCGACUUAGAACUUUAAUUCACAAUUUAACAAGAAGUUAAAGCUGCUCCCAGCGCCAUUAACCGGGCCCGGUUAUGAGCACAAAAUAUAUAUAUAUUUUUUCAUGUUAAACAUGUAGCUGAAUGUAUUGCUGUUUUGGUGUAGCACAUACACAGGGCCAGAAAUCACCCACCUCUGGUGUUUGCCUGGUUCUGGGCAACGGAAUAUGUUCCUUUAAAAAUAUCUAGUUGGGGGGAAAGACUAAAAUGUCACCUUCCCCCGUUCUUGUUUUUGCACCUGCCAUUUUCCCUUGCUCCCAAAAAUGCAGUGGGACGGAGAGAGGAUUUGGCUGUUGUUUCAUAGCAUGAAGGAUUUUGCAACCAGCGCUAACAGUCCCAGCAACAGCCUGUUUGGACAGAAAUAAUUCGCAUUGUUCAGUCUCCACAUUCCAUUCAGUUCUCGGCCUCCCAGCUCCGGUCCCAGCCCCCUUCUCUCUUCCCAGGCUGGGCUGGUUCAUAGUGCCAGUUGGAAUAUGGUGACCUGUGAUGUUGACAGCUGGGGACCUACCACCUCAGAGACUUUCAGUGGUUAAUGACAGACCUAGGAGUGCAGCGCCCUGCCGUGGUGGUGGUGGUGGUGUCAUUGACUAUUUACAGAAUCUCCCAAGCCGGAGAACCAGACCUUGUGUGUGCCUCCCGCUCUGCUGCUGGCUGAGUGGGGUAAGUGGCGUGGAGCAAUCGGCCUUUGAGGUUAGGUGGGGCCUUCCAGAGAGGAGGGAGGCUACUAGCUGUGUCUCCUGCUAUUUGUGCUGAAGGCUGGGGCUACUAGCUAAUGGGGCUGGGGGUGAUUCGACCUGCACGCUUUGCCAGUCCCUGUCUUGAGCUGGGUUACAUAAAGAAUCUGAACUGCGGCAAGGCAUGUCCAGUACAAUAGGUAUUGUAGGACAA